RNAcentral lists this long non-coding RNA (1340 nucleotides) under Elaeis guineensis (African oil palm). RNAcentral describes it as "long non-coding RNA (EGUI_LNC049156)". The record is from RNAcentral. Lineage: Eukaryota; Viridiplantae; Streptophyta; Magnoliopsida; Arecales; Arecaceae.
ACUUCAAUGAUAUAAAUACUAUAUAAUUUGUUAAUAAAUCUAGAAAAUGAGUCAUCUUACUUACGUCAUACGUACUCCAAUAAAUUCAUAUAAUUUUAUAAAUUUCUUUUUAGAAUCUUCAAUUGAUAGAAGAUUGUUGAUCCUAGGAUUUGAUUUUAAUAAAUCAUAAAAUAUUUGAGUAUAUAAUAUAACUAACAGUUCCAUAAAGUCUAUGUUUAAGGAAGAUUAUAAAAGCAUCAAAAAAUGAUUCUUAAUGGACAAAUAAAACUCAAAUGGGAAGUAUCUGGAUUCCUUCUUGCUAUGAAAAGAUAUAAAGAUCAAAGUGGAAGAGAAUCCCAAAAGGUGGAAUAAAAAAGCUUCUUAAAUGGAAAAAAAUUCAAAAAUUUUCAGUUAAAGGUUGCUCGAUUCGACUCAAGUUGAAUCCAAAUGGACUUGAGCUGAAAAAUAGAAGAAAAAAGAGUUCUAGUAUGCAAAUAUUCAAGACGGCACACUAUCAAGUUGACUCAAGUGCUAUCCGAGGUGACUCCAAUGAAGGAUGGCUGAAAAAUAUUUUUUUAGAGUCAAAAAAAUGAAUAGACUCACUGGAUUCCAGUGGACUCGUAGACUACUCGAGUCGAUUCAAAUUGUUUGAGUCCAAGUUCUUAGAAAUGAUAGAAGACAAUUUUUUGGACUUCUGACUAGAGUGGACCUAGAAUUGGCUAAGUGGACUUGAAGGGUAUUUGAGUCAACUUGAAUUUUUUUCGAGUCAACUCGAAGUCUAACGACUAGUUUUACAGAAUUUUCAGAAUAGUUCAGUAUUUUCAAUAUUCUAUUUCAGAUUUCAAUGGUUAAAAAUAAUUUUUUGAACUUUCAAAUAGUAUUAAAUAUCCACCAAACUCAUUGAAGAUCAUUAAUACACAAAGAGAAUCAAAGAAAAAGUGAGAGAUAACAAAAAAAAGGUCAAGAGCAUUGAGUAGUGUGCAUUUAUUCUUCAACUAUCUCAAACAUCAAAUCAAAAGAGCUUUUUUAGCAAGAAGAUAAGCUUCACCUCUAAAAAACAUCAUCAAAAAGAGAUUCUUCGAGCUUCAUCGAUAUUCUUUCGCUCAUUAAAAGAACUUUUAAAGUUUUAUUAUCAUUAUUUCUAUCUUUCUAUUAUAACUAGCUUCAAUUGAGGAUUAAAGCUAGGUGAUAGGCUCAUCCAAGCUUUAUAACUAGAUUGUAGGUUAUGGAUUGAUUUGGGUUAGAUUUUGUUUGGUGAUCCCAUGCAAAACCAAUUAGAUUUUGGAUAGUAAGGCCAAAAAACUAUAUGACUGUAAUCUUGGAUAGAUUAUAAUAAAAAUUUUUAUGAAUUCUUAGGGCAU